GGCUCAGAUUGAACGCUGGCGGUAGGUUUUAAACAUGCAAGUCGAGCGGUAACAGACAUUUUGAUUCAGCUUGCUGAAUCUCGUGCUGACGAGCGGCGAACGGGUGAGUAACACGUAGGAAUCUACCCAGUAGCGGGGGAUAGCCCGAGGAAACUCGGAUUAAUACCGCAUACGCCCUACGGGGGAAAGGGGGCAUCUUUGAUGCUCUUACUAUUGGAUGAGCCUGCGUAAGAUUAGCUUGUUGGUAGGGUAAAGGCCUACCAAGGCGACGAUCUUUAGCUGGUCUGAGAGGACGAUCAGCCACAUUGGGACUGAGACACGGCCCAGACGUCUACGGACGGCAGCAGUUAAGAAUAUUGGACAAUGGGGGAAACCUUGAUCCAGCCAUACCGCGUGUGUGAAGAAGGCCUUAGGGUUGUAAAGCACUUUAAGCGAAGAAGAAGAAAAGUAAAUUAAUACCUUACUUUUUUGACGUUAUUCGCAGAAUAAGUACCGGCUAACUCCGUGCCAGCAGCCGCGGUAAUACGGAGGGUACAAGCGUUAAUCGGAAUUACUGGGCGUAAAGCGCGCGUAGGCGGUUAAGUAAGUUGGAUGUGAAAGCCCUGGGCUCAACCUAGGAACUGCAUUCAAAACUAUUUAACUAGAGUGCGAGAGAGGAGAGUAGAAUUUCUGGUGUAGCGGUGAAAUGCGUAGAUAUCAGAAGGAAUACCAAUGGCGAAGGCAGCUCUCUGGAUCGUCACUGACGCUAAGGUGCGAAAGCGUGGGUAGCAAACAGGAUUAGAUACCCUGGUAGUCCACGCCGUAAACGAUGAGAACUAGCCGUUGGGGAGAAUUAACUCUUCAGUGGCGCAGCUAACGCAUUAAGUUCUCCGCCUGGGGACUACGGCCGCAAGGCUAAAACU
Molecule: ribosomal RNA, 902 nt
Filed under: uncultured SAR156 cluster gamma proteobacterium
Lineage: Bacteria; Pseudomonadati; Pseudomonadota; Gammaproteobacteria
Description: SSU rRNA
Rfam family: Bacterial small subunit ribosomal RNA
Source: RNAcentral